CCUCUACCGAUGAAUGGUUAUAGUGAGCAUAUGGGAUCAGUAGAAUUAGGUUGGCAACAACCUUUCUCUGCAGAGAACUAUGGCAAACUAGGCUAUUUAGAGGAAGUAAAAGUCGUAACAAGGUUUCCGUAGGUGAACCUGCGGAAGGAUCAUUAAAUAAUCAAUAAUUUUGGCUUGUCCAUCAUUAUCUAUUUACUGUGAAUCGUAUUAUUACUUGACGCCUGAGGGAUGUUCCAUUGCUAUAAGGAUAGGCAUUGGAAAUGUUAACCGAGUCAUAAUCAAGCUUAGGCUUGGUAUCCUAUUAUUAUUUACCAAAAGAAUUCAGAAUUAAUAUUGUAACAUAGACGUAAAAAAUCUAUAAAACAACUUUUAACAACGGAUCUCUUGGUUCUCGCAUCGAUGAAGAACGUAGCAAAGUGCGAUAACUAGUGUGAAUUGCAUAUUCAGUGAAUCAUCGAGUCUUUGAACGCAACUUGCGCUCAUUGGUAUUCCAAUGAGCACGCCUGUUUCAGUAUCAAAACAAACCCUCUAUCCAACUUUUGUUGAAUAGGAUGACUGAGAGUCUCUUGAUCUUUCGAUCUCGAACCUCUUGAAAUGUACAAAGGCCUGAUCUUGUUUGAAUGCCUGAACUUUUUUUUAAUAUAAAGAGAAGCUCUUGCGAUAAACUGUGCUGGGGCCUCCCAAAUAAUACUCUUUUAAAUUUGAUCUGAAAUCAGGUGGGAUUACCCGCUGAACUUAAGCAUAUCAAUAAGCGGAGGAAAAGAAAAUAACAAUGAUUUCCCUAGUAACGGCGAGUGAAGAGGAAAGAGCUCAAAGUUGGAAACUGUUUGGCUUAGCUAAACCGUAUUGUAAACUGUAGAAACAUUUUCCUGGCACACCAGAUUAAUAAGUCCUUUGGAACAAGGCAUCAUGGAGGGUGAGAUCCCGUCUUUGAUCUGAGUAGUUGUCUUUUGUGAUAUGUUUUCAAAGAGUCGAGUGUAGGAAAAAUGCA
Molecule: ribosomal RNA, 991 nt
Filed under: Mucor fragilis
Lineage: Eukaryota; Fungi; Mucoromycota; Mucoromycetes; Mucorales; Mucoraceae
Description: eukaryotic LSU rRNA
Rfam family: Eukaryotic large subunit ribosomal RNA (bases 703-991)
Source: RNAcentral